UUCAAUCAAACCUUUUUUUUUUUUGGCGUCCCCUAUAUGCCGGGCACUGUGCCACAUGCCGAGAUUCGGGUGGUGAACUUCGUGAUCUACUUCAGCAAUCUGUUUAAUUCCAGGGCCAGGCUUCGCCUAUCUCUGAGGACUAACGGGGCAGGCAUUUUGCGAGACGAGCAAGGUUCUUUGCUUGGAGUCUCAGAAGGCUGCAAUCAAGUUGUCCAGGGCCGCAUUCUCCCUUGGAGACUCAACUGGGGAAGAAUCCACUUGCAAGCCUAUUCAGGUUGUUGGCAGAACUUACUUCCUUGCGACUGUGUGACUGAGGGCCUGGGAUUUUUGCCAGCUGGAUUUUUCCUGGAGGUUACCACAGAUCCUUGUCAGGCCUGGCCCCUUAAAGCCUGUCUGAAAACAGAGGACUCUGACCAUCUAGAGGAAGACAUAGUCACAACAUGGUAGAAGCCUGGGUCCCAAGUGAGUGGAUGGCACAGGCCUCCCUCCCCAAACCUGCACUAAACUACAAU
Molecule: long non-coding RNA, 512 nt
Organism: Hipposideros armiger (great roundleaf bat)
Lineage: Eukaryota; Metazoa; Chordata; Mammalia; Chiroptera; Hipposideridae
Exons: 3
Source: RefSeq, a predicted model, not a curated record